CGUUUAGGGGUAAACCUGAGAAACCCGAAAGGUCAAAGGAAGAAAUUCAUCGCGUUUCGUGAUCGGCGACGAGCGAAUCGCGUGACGGUCGAUUGUUCACGCAAUCGCCGCAUCGUUUGUUCGUCGAAUCGAUCGCGAACGUGUGCACUUUUCUUCUGGUAGGACGUCGCGAUUCGUUGGGCGUCGGUUUAAGGUGUGCGGUGGAGUCCGUUUGAGCUUCUCGUUAAGCGUCGAACGAACCCGCGUUAUUUCCCGACCGACUCGCUCGACGGUAUUCGUAUGGUUCGAGGCCGCUCGUAUUUUUGGAGCGUUCGGCUCGCGGCAAGCGCGCUACGUGCGUCGAAGAUCGGACCUAGCGCCGAUCCCGACCAGUGGCGACUGUUGGCCGCGAAGAUUCUCGGACAGACCUCGUUAACCGAUCGGCGACGAUAUAGAUUUGGGUACUUUCAGGACCCGUCUUGAAACACGGACCAAGGAGUCUAGCAUGUACGCGAGUCAUUGGGAUCAAAUUAAACCUAAAGGCGUAAUGAAAGUGAAAAUCCUCCUUGCGGGGAUUAAGGGAAGACGAGCGGUUUAGCCGUUAAAAGCGGCCGCUUCGCAUUCCCGGGGCGUCUCGUUCUCAGUUCGGACGUUUCGCGACGGUCGAGCGAGAAGAGGCGCACCAAGAGCGUACACGCUG
This 679-nucleotide ribosomal RNA is filed under the name Ptilopodius madagascariensis. RNAcentral describes it as "eukaryotic LSU rRNA". It matches the Rfam family "Eukaryotic large subunit ribosomal RNA", at positions 406 to 811 of the family's 3401-position model. The record is from RNAcentral. Lineage: Eukaryota; Metazoa; Arthropoda; Insecta; Coleoptera; Curculionidae.